AGCGUACACGGUGGAUGCCCUGGCAGUCAGAGGCGAUGAAGGACGUGCUAAUCUGCGAUAAGCGUCGGUAAGGUGAUAUGAACCGUUAUAACCGGCGAUUUCCGAAUGGGGAAACCCAGUGUGUUUCGACACACUAUCAUUAACUGAAUCCAUAGGUUAAUGAGGCGAACCGGGGGAACUGAAACAUCUAAGUACCCCGAGGAAAAGAAAUCAACCGAGAUUCCCCCAGUAGCGGCGAGCGAACGGGGAGGAGCCCAGAGCCUGAAUCAGUGUGUGUGUUAGUGGAAGCGUCUGGAAAGGCGCGCGAUACAGGGUGACAGCCCCGUACACAAAAAUGCACAUGCUGUGAGCUCGAUGAGUAGGGCGGGACACGUGGUAUCCUGUCUGAAUAUGGGGGGACCAUCCUCCAAGGCUAAAUACUCCUGACUGACCGAUAGUGAACCAGUACCGUGAGGGAAAGGCGAAAAGAACCCCGGCGAGGGGAGUGAAAAAGAACCUGAAACCGUGUACGUACAAGCAGUGGGAGCACGCUUAGGCGUGUGACUGCGUACCUUUUGUAUAAUGGGUCAGCGACUUAUAUUCUGUAGCAAGGUUAACCGAAUAGGGGAGCCGAAGGGAAACCGAGUCUUAACUGGGCGUUAAGUUGCAGGGUAUAGACCCGAAACCCGGUGAUCUAGCCAUGGGCAGGUUGAAGGUUGGGUAACACUAACUGGAGGACCGAACCGACUAAUGUUGAAAAAUUAGCGGAUGACUUGUGGCUGGGGGUGAAAGGCCAAUCAAACCGGGAGAUAGCUGGUUCUCCCCGAAAGCUAUUUAGGUAGCGCCUCGUGAAUUCAUCUCCGGGGGUAGAGCACUGUUUCGGCAAGGGGGUCAUCCCGACUUACCAACCCGAUGCAAACUGCGAAUACCGGAGAAUGUUAUCACGGGAGACACACGGCGGGUGCUAACGUCCGUCGUGAAGAGGGAAACAACCCAGACCGCCAGCUAAGGUCCCAAAGUCAUGGUUAAGUGGGAAACGAUGUGGGAAGGCCCAGACAGCCAGGAUGUUGGCUUAGAAGCAGCCAUCAUUUAAAGAAAGCGUAAUAGCUCACUGGUCGAGUCGGCCUGCGCGGAAGAUGUAACGGGGCUAAACCAUGCACCGAAGCUGCGGCAGCGACGCUNNNNNNNNNNNNNNNNNNNNNNNNNNNNNNNNNNNNNNNNNNNNNNNNNNNNNNNUAUGCUGGAGGUAUCAGAAGUGCGAAUGCUGACAUAAGUAACGAUAAAGCGGGUGAAAAGCCCGCUCGCCGGAAGACCAAGGGUUCCUGUCCAACGUUAAUCGGGGCAGGGUGAGUCGACCCCUAAGGCGAGGCCGAAAGGCGUAGUCGAUGGGAAACAGGUUAAUAUUCCUGUACUUGGUGUUACUGCGAAGGGGGGACGGAGAAGGCUAUGUUGGCCGGGCGACGGUUGUCCCGGUUUAAGCGUGUAGGCUGGUUUUCCAGGCAAAUCCGGAAAAUCAAGGCUGAGGCGUGAUGACGAGGCACUACGGUGCUGAAGCAACAAAUGCCCUGCUUCCAGGAAAAGCCUCUAAGCAUCAGGUAACAUCAAAUCGUACCCCAAACCGACACAGGUGGUCAGGUAGAGAAUACCAAGGCGCUUGAGAGAACUCGGGUGAAGGAACUAGGCAAAAUGGUGCCGUAACUUCGGGAGAAGGCACGCUGAUAUGUAGGUGAAGCGACUUGCUCGUGGAGCUGAAAUCAGUCGAAGAUACCAGCUGGCUGCAACUGUUUAUUAAAAACACAGCACUGUGCAAACACGAAAGUGGACGUAUACGGUGUGACGCCUGCCCGGUGCCGGAAGGUUAAUUGAUGGGGUCAGCGCAAGCGAAGCUCUUGAUCGAAGCCCCGGUAAACGGCGGCCGUAACUAUAACGGUCCUAAGGUAGCGAAAUUCCUUGUCGGGUAAGUUCCGACCUGCACGAAUGGCGUAAUGAUGGCCAGGCUGUCUCCACCCGAGACUCAGUGAAAUUGAACUCGCUGUGAAGAUGCAGUGUACCCGCGGCAAGACGGAAAGACCCCGUGAACCUUUACUAUAGCUUGACACUGAACAUUGAGCCUUGAUGUGUAGGAUAGGUGGGAGGCUUUGAAGUGUGGACGCCAGUCUGCAUGGAGCCGACCUUGAAAUACCACCCUUUAAUGUUUGAUGUUCUAACGUUGACCCGUGAUCCGGGUUGCGGACAGUGUCUGGUGGGUAGUUUGACUGGGGCGGUCUCCUCCUAAAGAGUAACGGAGGAGCACGAAGGUUGGCUAAUCCUGGUCGGACAUCAGGAGGUUAGUGCAAUGGCAUAAGCCAGCUUGACUGCGAGCGUGACGGCGCGAGCAGGUGCGAAAGCAGGUCAUAGUGAUCCGGUGGUUCUGAAUGGAAGGGCCAUCGCUCAACGGAUAAAAGGUACUCCGGGGAUAACAGGCUGAUACCGCCCAAGAGUUCAUAUCGACGGCGGUGUUUGGCACCUCGAUGUCGGCUCAUCACAUCCUGGGGCUGAAGUAGGUCCCAAGGGUAUGGCUGUUCGCCAUUUAAAGUGGUACGCGAGCUGGGUUUAGAACGUCGUGAGACAGUUCGGUCCCUAUCUGCCGUGGGCGCUGGAGAACUGAGGGGGGCUGCUCCUAGUACGAGAGGACCGGAGUGGACGCAUCACUGGUGUUCGGGUUGUCAUGCCAAUGGCACUGCCCGGUAGCUAAAUGCGGAAGAGAUAAGUGCUGAAAGCAUCUAAGCACGAAACUUGCCCCGAGAUGAGUUCUCCCUGACUCCUUGA
This 2787-nucleotide ribosomal RNA is filed under the name Escherichia coli. Its description in RNAcentral is "bacterial LSU rRNA". It matches the Rfam family "Bacterial large subunit ribosomal RNA". The record is from RNAcentral. Lineage: Bacteria; Pseudomonadati; Pseudomonadota; Gammaproteobacteria; Enterobacterales; Enterobacteriaceae.